GACGAACGCUGGCGGCGUGCUUAACACAUGCAAGUCGAACGGAAAGGCCCUGCUUUUGUGGUGUGCUCGAGUGGCGAACGGGUGAGUAACACGUGAGUAACCUGCCCUUGACUUUGGGAUAACUUCAGGAAACUGGGGCUAAUACCGGAUAUGAGCUCCUGCUGCAUGGGGGGGGUUGGAAAUUUUCGGCGGUUGGGGAUGGACUCGCGGCUUAUCAGCUUGUUGGUGGGGUAGUGGCUUACCAAGGCUUUGACGGGUAGCCGGCCUGAGAGGGUGACCGGCCACAUUGGGACUGAGAUACGGCCCAGACUCCUACGGGAGGCAGCAGUGGGGAAUAUUGCACAAUGGGCGGAAGCAUGAUGCAGCAACGCCGCGUGCGGGAUGACGGCCUUCGGGUUGUAAACCGCUUUCGCCUGUGACGAAGCGUGAGUGACGGUAAUGGGUAAAGAAGCACCGGCUAACUACGUG
RNAcentral lists this ribosomal RNA (468 nucleotides) under uncultured bacterium. Its description in RNAcentral is "partial 16S ribosomal RNA". It matches the Rfam family "Bacterial small subunit ribosomal RNA", at positions 28 to 507 of the family's 1533-position model. The record is from RNAcentral.